Molecule: ribosomal RNA, 253 nt
Filed under: uncultured bacterium
Lineage: Bacteria
Description: partial 16S ribosomal RNA
Rfam family: Bacterial small subunit ribosomal RNA
Source: RNAcentral
GACGAACCGUGCGAACGUUGUUCGGAUUCACUGGGCUUAAAGGGCGCGUAGGCGGGCGGUCAAGUCGGGGGUGAAAUCUUUCAGCUCAACUGGAAAAGUGCCUUCGAUACUGACUGUCUUGAGUGAGGUAGGGGCAUGUGGAACUUCCGGUGGAGCGGUGAAAUGCGUAGAUAUCGGAAGGAACGCCGGUGGCGAAAGCGACGUGCUGGACCUCUUCUGACGCUGAGGCGCGAAAGCUAGGGGAGCAAACAGG